This 507-nucleotide ribosomal RNA is filed under the name uncultured bacterium. Its description in RNAcentral is "partial 16S ribosomal RNA". The stretch from base 20 to 329 matches the Rfam family "Bacterial small subunit ribosomal RNA", at positions 47 to 358 of the family's 1533-position model. The record is from RNAcentral.
GACGAACGCUGGCGGCGUGCUUAACACAUGCAAGUCGAACGGAAAGGCCCUGCUUUUGUGGGGUGCUCGAGUGGCGAACGGGUGAGUAACACGUGAGUAACCUGCCCUUGACUUUGGGAUAACUUCAGGAAACUGGGGCUAAUACCGGAUAGGAGCUCCUGCUGCAUGGUGGGGGUUGGAAAGUUUCGGCGGUUGGGGAUGGACUCGCGGCUUAUCAGCUUGUUGGUGGGGUAGUGGCUUACCAAGGCUUUGACGGGUAGCCGGCCUGAGAGGGUGACCGGCGAUGGAUGGACUGAGGCGCGACAAGGGCAGGUAGGGGAGGGAGAGGGGGGGAGUGGGGAGCAGAGGGGGGAAGGUGGGGGCAGCGGGGCGGGUUGGGGGGUGAGGCGCGGCGGGUGGGAAGACGGUCGCGGGUGCGAAGAAGCGGGAGAGGCGGGAAUGGGAAAAGAGGAACGAGAUAAGAACGGCGGAGCAGCAGCGGAAAAAAAGACGAGGACUCGCGAGCUC